UUUGAAAAGAUCUGAAGAUACGCCCCUUGGAUGCCUGCAGAGAAGCUCUGGGGCUUCAGUCAAUGACUCAGGGUAGCCACCGAACAUGAUGCUCGGGCAGUGGGUGCCACCUGGACUCCACUCUCCCCUCUCUCUGGGAUCAUAGAGUCCAAGGUGUUCUGUGGCCUCUCGGCCAAUCCCAGCAGCUCAGCGUGCAGAAGACCGAGGAGCCAUUGGAAUUCAACACAACACGAAAUAAUCAACAAAUUCGGGGAAUGUUAAUCUGACCAUCACCAGUUACAAAUGAUGUUUCAUGCUACCUUCUAUUCCUGCCUUCAUAAAUCAAGGAAAAGAAAAAGAGAACAUAUAUCCCCCUACCUUUUGAUUUCCAACAGUCUACUGAGAGGCCAAGAUUAUUUGCAGGGAAAGAAAAGGGGAAUGCCAUCCCCACCCUCUCGCAGCUACGUGCCAGUUCCAGAGCACCUGUUCCCCUCUACUUUGAAAAGGUCAAAAUGUUUUGCCAGUAACUCCCAAAUCAUCUACAGCCAAGGAGAAAAGUGUUUCAAGACAGAGGUGCUCAAUGGUAUCAAAUACUGCCAACAGACCAAGUAAUACAUGCAUUGAAGUGUCUACUGGAUCUAGCUAUAUAUGAAGAAACUGAGGCAGACAGAGGUGAAGAAACUUGCACAAGGUCAAAGAACAAAGAGUCACAUUAGCAGCUGGAUAUUCAGCUGUGAAGCUCAAGGAAGAAGUCAGGGCUGGAGAUAUAUGAAUGAGAACCAUCUGCAUAAAGAUGAUCUUUAAAAUCAUGGAGCUGGAUGAAAUCUCUCUCCACUCCUCCCCACAGGGGAAUGGAGCAAUGCCCAGGGCGCCCUGGGGCACCUCAACCUGCAGAGGCCAGUCAAGCUGGCAAGGAGUAACAGAAGACUGAUGAAGAAUGGCCAGCAAGAGAGGAGGGAAACCUGGAGGGCUUGAUGUCUCUACAAUGAAGAGAGCACUUCAUGGAGGAGGAAGUUGUCCCUAGGUUGAAUGCAGCUGAGGGACUAAUUAAGAUCACAGCUAAAUGGCCACUGGAUUUACCCAGAUGGAGAAGAAGAAGAAAAGCACCUACCUGGCAUGGAUGCCAUUCUUUAAGUACUUACAAUCCAUUCUCCCCUUACCCCGACUCCUACCUUUCUCCUUGCUGACAGAACAGGCCUCCCAUUACAAAGGCUGAGAAUACCAGAAACCCAAUGUCCCCUCCCUAAGGGAUCAGGCAUGGAAAAGGGAUUCCUCCCCUAAAAAACAGUCCCAUGGAAGAAGAUGGACAUGGUCCCCACGUGACGGCUGGAGUUGCUGUGAGCAUGAGGUGCGCCUUAUCAACAUGAUGAAGAUGGCAGACGGUGUACCAGGGUGCUGGCUGUAGUCCGUUUUGUGCUGUUAUAACAGAAUCACACAGACUGAGUAAUUGACAAAGAACAGAGAUUCAUUUCUCAGAGUUCUGGAGGCUGGGAAUUUCAAGCUCAAAACACCAACAUCCGUGUGAGCCUUCUUACGGUGUCCUCACAUGGCAGACAGCAGAAGAGCAAGAGAAGACAAACAUUGGGUCCUCACAUGGCAGAAGAGCGAGAAAAGGAGUGAAUCUGCCCCCACAAGCCCUUUUUACGGUGGCAUUGAUCCGCUCAUGACAUCAGAGCCCUCAUGACCUCACCACCUCCCAUUCAUUCUCACCUCCCCAGAGUCACAUUGAGGAGUAGGUUUCCAGCACAUGAAUUGUGGGGGACACAUUCAGACCAUAGAGGCUCUGAAUUCACCCUGGGCCUUCUCUGACCUCUUGAACCAUAACUACAAACUCAACCUGCAUUUUUAGCCUGCUGUAACUACCGAGGCUUUUCAAUGGAUUCAACCUGAGAAAAAUAAUAAAGAAGGACAUUGUAA
Molecule: long non-coding RNA, 1896 nt
Filed under: Homo sapiens (human)
Lineage: Eukaryota; Metazoa; Chordata; Mammalia; Primates; Hominidae
Description: long intergenic non-protein coding RNA 710
Source: RNAcentral